Long non-coding RNA from Gasterosteus aculeatus aculeatus (three-spined stickleback), 325 nucleotides. The record is from Ensembl. Lineage: Eukaryota; Metazoa; Chordata; Actinopteri; Perciformes; Gasterosteidae.
ACUGACACCAUCAUCUUGUCCCCUGGUCCCCAGAGUGCGAGCCCUGUUGCUGAGGGAAUAGAAGCCCCGGUCCCGGCAAGAGGACAUGCUGGUCCCGACACAUAUGGACGCUUGCCGUGCGUGCCACCCCCAGGUGCUUGGGUGAGAGAGCCCCCCCCCCCCCCCGCCGCCCCCGCGGGAUCGUUCGGGGGCAGCCGGGUGAAAACGGGAGGGACGGAGAAGGAGACGACGGGGCGGAGAAGCGGGCGGCCGAGGCGGCAGCUGUUUCCUGUCAGUGACCCUACGGCAUGAUGGUUAGGCUCUAUGAGGCGGCCUGUCACUCCCC